GUGGGUAGGCUUCCCGCUUUACCUUUUAAAAGUCGAGCGGAAACGAGUUAUCUGAACCUUCGGGGAACGAUAACGGCGUCGAGCGGCGGACGGGUGAGUAAUGCCUAGGAAAUUGCCCUGAUGUGGGGGAUAACCAUUGGAAACGAUGGCUAAUACCGCAUAACGCCUACGGGCCAAAGAGGGGGACCUUCGGGCCUCUCGCGUCAGGAUAUGCCUAGGUGGGAUUAGCUAGUUGGUGAGGUAAGGGCUCACCAAGGCGACGAUCCCUAGCUGGUCUGAGAGGAUGAUCAGCCACACUGGAACUGAGACACGGUCCAGACUCCUACGGGAGGCAGCAGUGGGGAAUAUUGCACAAUGGGCGCAAGCCUGAUGCAGCCAUGCCGCGUGUGUGAAGAAGGCCUUCGGGUUGUAAAGCACUUUCAGUCGUGAGGAAGGUAGUGUAGUUAAUAGCUGCAUUAUUUGACGUUAGCGACAGAAGAAGCACCGGCUAACUCCGUGCCAGCAGCCGCGGUAAUACGGAGGGUGCGAGCGUUAAUCGGAAUUACUGGGCGUAAAGCGCAUGCAGGUGGUUUGUUAAGUCAGAUGUGAAAGCCCGGGGCUCAACCUCGGAAUUGCAUUUGAAACUGGCAGACUAGAGUACUGUAGAGGGGGGUAGAAUUUCAGGUGUAGCGGUGAAAUGCGUAGAGAUCUGAAGGAAUACCGGUGGCGAAGGCGGCCCCCUGGACAGAUACUGACACUCAGAUGCGAAAGCGUGGGGAGCAAACAGGAUUAGAUACCCUGUAGUCCACGCCGUAAACGAUGUCUACUUGGAGGUUGUGGCCUUGAGCCGUGGCUUUCGGAGCUAACGCGUUAAGUAGACCGCCUGGGGAGUACGGUCGCAGAUUAAAACUCAAAUGAAUGACGGGGGCCCGCACAGCGUGCAGCAUGGUGUUAUUCGAUGCACGCGAGACCUUACCUACUCUUGACAUCAGAGAACUUCAGAGAUGAUGGGUGCCUUCGGCACUCUGAAAGUGCUGCAUGGCCUGUCGUCACGCCCUGUAUGGCAAUGUAGCAUAGUCCCGCACGAGGCGCCACAUUAACCUGAUGCAGCGGAUAUUGCGAAUUCCAAGCAACUCCGGUUUAGAACC
This 1127-nucleotide ribosomal RNA is filed under the name bacterium Pla-1-10-05. RNAcentral's name for it is "bacterial SSU rRNA". It matches the Rfam family "Bacterial small subunit ribosomal RNA", at positions 31 to 1164 of the family's 1533-position model. The record is from RNAcentral.